RNAcentral lists this long non-coding RNA (215 nucleotides) under Mytilus galloprovincialis (Mediterranean mussel). The record is from RNAcentral. Lineage: Eukaryota; Metazoa; Mollusca; Bivalvia; Mytilida; Mytilidae.
GUAUAAUCUUGCAUGCAGUUGUAGUUCUGUGACUGCUAUUAAAGUAUUCUCAGAUUUGGCGUUAUUCAAUAUAUUUUCUAAAUCAUAUCAGUAGUCGAACCUACCGAUGGGGUUCUUUCCAUGUCUUGAUUUGGUCAAUGGUUGUUUUAUUUCGUUGGACACUUAAUUUCGUGGAUAAAGUCAUCCACGAAAACCACGAAAAUUGGUACCCCACG